Long non-coding RNA from Equus asinus (donkey), 1649 nucleotides. The record is from Ensembl. NCBI's taxonomy places the organism in Eukaryota, Metazoa, Chordata, Mammalia, Perissodactyla, Equidae.
AAUGACCUCAGGAUUCUUAUAUUCCCAGGUGUGCGUUCCUGGGUAACUGACUCGGAGGGUACUGUGGUCACUUUCUAGAGUGCUCAGCUAGACAUAAACCCUUCCUUGGGAACCCCUCCUGCCCCCUGCAGCUACAGCCACCACUGGAGGGGGCCUCUGUGGCCAUAUAUGCUUCCCCUCACUGAUCAGAUUACCGGACACCUGACCCAAGACGGGCAGCAAUCAGAUUCUCCUGGAAAAUCUGAAGAUGGCGCCCACAAUUAGAGUUGGUCAGCUGUGGGAAGCCGAGCUGAAAAGUCACGUAAAAUUGAGGCCAAAGGCUGGCACCUUGUCAGACAAAGGAAAGCACAUGCUGACGUUACAGGGGAACACGAACCAUGUGGAGCCAGGGAAGCCCCAACCUGCAGGGAACAGGACGGAGCAGAUGCACAGAAGCAGGUCGAUGGCAAAGACCAUGUGGCUCCUGAGAGAAAGAGGGAAGAAGGGCCAGUCCCUGGGAGGUCUGUCCUUCCUGCCUUUGAGCCAACUUGGGUGGAUUUCUCCUUCUUACAACUGAAAGAGCCUUGAGCAGGACAGAGCCAAGUAAGGAGUGGAUGACAGACAAGUAUUUCUGGGGGCAUGCAAGAGUGUGUAGAAGCAGGUGUAAAAAUGACUCCAUUGUUGGCUUUUUGUGGACAUGCUCCUAAUGAACUUAAUUCAAGGUCUCCAUUGCUACACAUACCAGGCACUUUCCUCCCUUUCAGAGAUGGAAUUUACCUCUGUUCAUCCUACGAGAAUCUGUCAAGGCAACAGAACAGGCCACUAACAUGGCAAACGAGCCCGGACCGGCUUCUCACCUCUUGCCCCGACAGGAGCAAUCUGCAGAUUCCUAGGUGUGCAGCGCAGGGCGAGGCCCGAGUCUCACCCGGCUCCCUGGCCCAGCAUCUAGGAUGCAGCGGGGUGAAAGUCAAUAAAUGUCUGAUGAAAUGCAGUGUCCCCUCUUCUCCCACAUGUACUCCUCUAGCGCAAGGUGUUUCCUCAACAGCAGGACUUAAGAUAUUCUCUAGUCCUCACAUCCAGGGAAGGGGCCUUCGGUUAAUUUACAUCACGCUUCCUUUCGGGCUUGAUUUUCACAUAUAUAUAAACAUGCAAAUAUUCAAAUCAUUAACAUACUCUCAUUGUAAAAACACAGACAUAAAGAGAAACUCCCCCUUUCCUUGCCUCACUAUUCUAGUCUCCUCCUCAGAGGCAGCACUGUUAAGAGUUUGGUGUGUUUUGACUUUUUCCUGUGUUUAUAUACAUAUAUGCUUGUGUAGAAAUACAUAUUUUGUUUCGUUUUUAUUAAUAUAAAUGGGACCUUACUAUUAACCGUUUUGAAGCUUGCUUUCUACACUUAAGAGUACUGAACUCUUUCCAUGUCAGUGUACCUUCAUCCUGCUCAUUCUUUUUAACUGUCGCAGACAUUCCCUGAUACAGAUGAGUCCUAGUUUAAACUUUACCUGUUGAUGAACAUUUUUUUUCUAGUUUUCAUCCUAAUUUUUUUUAAAGCCAGGUUUAUUGAGGUAUACUUUAUCUGCACUAAAAUUUACUUUUUAAAAUGUGCAGAUUAAGUUUUAACACAGUCAUGUGACCACCACCACAACCAGGAUUUCCACUAUGCCAGAAAGUUC